GAUGAACGCUGGCGGCGUGCCUAAUACAUGCAAGUCGAGCGAACGGACGAGAAGCUUGCUUCUCUGAUGUUAGCGGCGGACGGGUGAGUAACACGUGGAUAACCUACCUAUAAGACUGGGAUAACUUCGGGAAACCGGAGCUAAUACCGGAUGAUAUUUUGAACCGCAUGGUUCAAAAGUGAAAGACGGUCUUGCUGUCACUUAUAGAUGGAUCCGCGCUGCAUUAGCUAGUUGGUAAGGUAACGGCUUACCAAGGCAACGAUGCAUAGCCGACCUGAGAGGGUGAUCGGCCACACUGGAACUGAGACACGGUCCAGACUCCUACGGGAGGCAGCAGUAGGGAAUCUUCCGCAAUGGGCGAAAGCCUGACGGAGCAACGCCGCGUGAGUGAUGAAGGUCUUCGGAUCGUAAAACUCUGUUAUUAGGGAAGAACAUAUGUGUAAGUAACUGUGCACAUCUUGACGGUACCUAAUCAGAAAGCCACGGCUAACUACGUGCCAGCAGCCGCGGUAAUACGUAGGUGGCAAGCGUUAUCCGGAAUUAUUGGGCGUAAAGCGCGCGUAGGCGGUUUUUUAAGUCUGAUGUGAAAGCCCACGGCUCAACCGUGGAGGGUCAUUGGAAACUGGAAAACUUGAGUGCAGAAGAGGAAAGUGGAAUUCCAUGUGUAGCGGUGAAAUGCGCAGAGAUAUGGAGGAACACCAGUGGCGAAGGCGACUUUCUGGUCUGUAACUGACGCUGAUGUGCGAAAGCGUGGGGAUCAAACAGGAUUAGAUACCCUGGUAGUCCACGCCGUAAACGAUGAGUGCUAAGUGUUAGGGGGUUUCCGCCCCUUAGUGCUGCAGCUAACGCAUUAAGCACUCCGCCUGGGGAGUACGACCGCAAGGUUGAAACUCAAAGGAAUUGACGGGGACCCGCACAAGCGGUGGAGCAUGUGGUUUAAUUCGAAGCAACGCGAAGAACCUUACCAAAUCUUGACAUCCUUUGACAACUCUAGAGAUAGAGCCUUCCCCUUCGGGGGACAAAGUGACAGGUGGUGCAUGGUUGUCGUCAGCUCGUGUCGUGAGAUGUUGGGUUAAGUCCCGCAACGAGCGCAACCCUUAAGCUUAGUUGCCAUCAUUAAGUUGGGCACUCUAAGUUGACUGCCGGUGACAAACCGGAGGAAGGCGGGGAUGACGUCAAAUCAUCAUGCCCCUUAUGAUUUGGGCUACACACGUGCUACAAUGGACAAUACAAAGGGCAGCGAAACCGCGAGGUCAAGCAGAUCCCAUAAAGUUGUUCUCAGUUCGGAUUGUAGUCUGCAACUCGACUACAUGAAGCUGGAAUCGCUAGUAAUCGUAGAUCAGCAUGCUACGGUGAAUACGUUCCCGGGUCU
Molecule: ribosomal RNA, 1372 nt
Filed under: uncultured bacterium
Lineage: Bacteria
Description: bacterial SSU rRNA
Rfam family: Bacterial small subunit ribosomal RNA
Source: RNAcentral